This is a non-coding RNA of Tachyglossus aculeatus (Australian echidna), 531 nucleotides long. The record is from the annotation of a RefSeq genome assembly. Lineage: Eukaryota; Metazoa; Chordata; Mammalia; Monotremata; Tachyglossidae.
AUGCUGGGGUCUGUCACUCUCCUUCUUGCCACCCUGCUCCCUGCCGGACAGGCGGCACUCUCCCUCGACCAGCCAGCGGUCUCCAUCACCAGAGAGGCCAGGAAGUCCACAAAGAUCUCCUGUGACUUUUCUCAGAAAAGCAUCACAUACAUCCACUGGUAUCGCCAGCAGCCUGGGAAGGCUCCUCAGCACCUGCUCUACUAUAACAUGGCCACAGCUAAACAGACGAUGAAUGCAGGAUUCAGUUCAGACAAAUUCUAUGCCUACAAGAGGAAAGACCAAAGCUACACCCUGGAGGUCCAGAACCUGGGCACGAGUGAUGCUGGCAUCUAUUACUGUGCCAGCUGGGACCCCACAGUGACACAGGUCCCUUUGCUCUCUGUACAAAAAUAUCACUCUCUGUUGUUCCAGCAACAAGGCCUGCCCUCCAUAGCUCCAAUAUCACAAGCAGCCCAGCCAAUUAGCAGAGGGGAGACCUUGGUGACUCACCACUCCAACCCUAGGGUCCCCAGCCCCUCUUCAGACCACUGA